Non-coding RNA from Salvelinus sp. IW2-2015, 1229 nucleotides. The record is from RefSeq and is a predicted model, not a curated record. NCBI's taxonomy places the organism in Eukaryota, Metazoa, Chordata, Actinopteri, Salmoniformes, Salmonidae.
UUUACAGUCUGGGUUGAGCUACAGUGUCGGCAGCACAGAGAAAUGAUUUUACAUUUGUGUGACAGGAAGAUAAAAAUAGCUAAAAUGCCUAAUUUAUCAUGAAGUUAGCAUGCCAAUAGAACGAACUCAACAAUAACUGAACAAAGUUGGCUUGCACUACCUGGCUAGCUAGCAUUAGCCGGCUAACGUGACUGCCAAAUAUCUUUAUAACUAAACCUCAUUGUUCUGUGUUACUGCUGACUAGCUAGCAGGCUGGCUAGCUACAGUAUAUAGCCCUAUCUGGCUAUGGCUAUAGUCAUGCUAGCUAGUGGAAGUAAGUUAGUCCCUCAUGCUAGCUAGUUGUAGCUAGGUAGUGGAUGUAAAUUAACAGUCCCUCAACCUGCUGCUAAAAGAUGAAGCCGCCCGGCCAGAGCGAGGUAACGUUAGCUCCUGCAGAAAGGACCAUUCAGGGUCCACUCACUCAGCCCUAUCCACAAGCUCUCAAGGUCCAUUACUAUUUCCUCCUACAACACCCUGAUGAGAAGCAAAAAGCCUGGUCCAGUGACUGGCCCCACAGGCCUGGCACCCCUGGCCUGUGGGAGAGAGUUGGCACAGAACUCAUCAGUGCCCAGCAGAGGGUCCACCAGAAACUCUGGGGGCAGCCCUGGCAGUGAUGAAGGAUCUCCUACCUUGACAUUUUUUCGAAACCAUUUUUCCAGUGUUUAAGUUUUCUGAAAGUUAAGCACACAAUAUGCUACAGUUCUACAGCUACAGUAGAAUUCAAAAUGUGUUUGACAGUAGUCAACAUGCUCCAUUAUAGGCCAUAACAAGAUGCAUUGUCACAGCUCAGUGAUAUCACUUGCAGAUGUUUGUAGAUCAACCAGUGUCCUGUUUAUUUUUUUCAUUGAGUUUAGAAACAAAAUUAUAUAUGUCAUUCAGUCGUGGCUUGUUAGCUCUGAUAAAGACUUYCUCAUGUACAUGUAUGUGUCUAAUAACUCCUUAUUACAUAUCACAGUGGACUCAGGUUAAUAGAGAGUAUAAAAGCUUUGAAACAACUGCAGCAAAACCUAACCUAGACUAGUUUACUGGCUAGUCUUUCACUCUCAGCUUUGUUUGACAGUUCAGUCUGUCACCACGAUAGGCCAUAUCAAGACGUAUUGUCAUAGCAUUGAUAUCACUCGUAGAUAGGUGUAGAAUGGCGCAUUGCCAGUAUCUGUUAUUAUUAAUAAAUACAGUGCUUUUGGAAAGUA